This 468-nucleotide ribosomal RNA is filed under the name uncultured bacterium. RNAcentral describes it as "partial 16S ribosomal RNA". It matches the Rfam family "Bacterial small subunit ribosomal RNA", at positions 28 to 507 of the family's 1533-position model. The record is from RNAcentral.
GACGAACGCUGGCGGCGUGCUUAACACAUGCAAGUCGAACGGAAAGGCCCUGCUUUUGUGGGGUGCUCGAGUGGCGAACGGGUGAGUAACACGUGAGUAACCUGCCCUUGACUUUGGGAUAACUUCAGGAAACUGGGGCUAAUACCGGAUAGGAGCUCCUGCUGCAUGGUGGGGGUUGGAAAGUUUCGGCGGUUGGGGAUGGACUCGCGGCUUAUCAGCUUGUUGGUGGGGUAGUGGCUUACCAAGGCUUUGACGGGUAGCCGGCCUGGGAGGGUGACCGGCCACAUUGGGACUGAGAUACGGCCCAGACGCCAACGGGAGGCAGCAGGGGGGAAUAUUGCACAAUGGGCGGAAGCCUGAUGCAGCAACGCCGCGUGCGGGAUGACGGCCUUCGGGUUGUAAACCACUGUCUCCUGUGACAAAGCGUGAGUGACGGUAAUGGGUAAAGAAGCACCGGCUAACUACGUG